GUUAGUUCAGUUGGUUAGAAUACAUGCCUGUCACGCAUGGGGUCACGGGUUCGAGUCCCGUAC
Molecule: transfer RNA, 63 nt
Organism: Bacteroides nordii CL02T12C05
Lineage: Bacteria; Pseudomonadati; Bacteroidota; Bacteroidia; Bacteroidales; Bacteroidaceae
Rfam family: tRNA
About the family: Transfer RNA (tRNA) molecules are approximately 80 nucleotides in length. Their secondary structure includes four short double-helical elements and three loops (D, anti-codon, and T loops). Further hydrogen bonds mediate the characteristic L-shaped molecular structure. tRNAs have two regions of fundamental functional importance: the anti-codon, which is responsible for specific mRNA codon recognition, and the 3' end, to which the tRNAs corresponding amino acid is attached (by aminoacyl-tRNA synthetases). tRNAs cope with the degeneracy of the genetic code in two manners: having more than one tRNA (with a specific anti-codon) for a particular amino acid; and 'wobble' base-pairing, i.e. permitting non-standard base-pairing at the 3rd anti-codon position.
Source: Rfam